RNAcentral lists this ribosomal RNA (206 nucleotides) under Sus scrofa (pig). Its description in RNAcentral is "partial 16S ribosomal RNA". It matches the Rfam family "Archaeal large subunit ribosomal RNA", at positions 1997 to 2535 of the family's 2987-position model. Lineage: Eukaryota; Metazoa; Chordata; Mammalia; Artiodactyla; Suidae. The record is from RNAcentral.
CAGUUUAACGGCCGCGGUAUUCUGACCGUGCAAAGAGUAGCAUAAUCACUUGUUCUCCAAAUAAGGACUUGUAUGAAUGGGCCACACGAGGGUUUUACUGUCUCUUACUUCCAAUCAGUGAAAUUGACCUUCCCGUGAAGAGGCGGGAAUAAAAAAAUAAGACGAGAAGACCCUAUGGAGCUUUAAUUAACUAUUCCAAAAGUUAA